GCAAGUCGAACGGUAACAUGAGAGCUUGCUCUUGAUGACGAGUGGCGAACGGGUGCGUAACGCGUAUACAACUUGCCUACUACAGAAGGAUAGCCCAGAGAAAUUUGGAUUAAUACUUCAUGGUACUAUAAGAUGGCAUCAUUUAAUAGUUAAAGAAUUUCGGUAGUAGAUGGGUAUGCGUCUGAUUAGUUAGUUGGUAGGGUAACGGCCUACCAAGACAAUGAUCAGUAGGGGUUCUGAGAGGAAGAUC
Molecule: ribosomal RNA, 250 nt
Filed under: uncultured bacterium
Lineage: Bacteria
Description: partial 16S ribosomal RNA
Rfam family: Bacterial small subunit ribosomal RNA
Source: RNAcentral